GUGGAAUUGCGCAGCCUACACAUGCAGUCGAACGGCAGCACAGGACAGCUUGCUGUUUGGGUGGCGAGUGGCGGACGGGUGAGGAAUGCAUCGGAAUCUACUUUUUCGUGGGGGAUAACGUAGGGAAACUUACGCUAAUACCGCACACCACCUACGGGUGAAAGCGGGGGAUCUUCGGACCUUGCGCGAUUGAAUGAGCCGAUAUCGGAUUAGCUAGUUGGCGGGGUAAAGGCCCACCAAGGCGACGAUCCGUAGCUGGUCUGAGAGGAUGAUCAGCCACACUGGAACUGAGACACGGUCCAGACUCCUACGGGAGGCAGCAGUGGGGAAUAUUGGACAAUGGGCGCAAGCCUGAUCCAGCCAUACCGCGUGGGUGAAGAAGGCCUUCGGGUUGUAAAGCCCUUUUGUUGGGAAAGAAAUCCUGCUGGUUAAUACCCGGUGGGGAUGACGGUACCCAAAGAAUAAGCACCGGCUAACUUCUGCCGCCGGCCGCGCGGAUGCGGGAA
RNAcentral lists this ribosomal RNA (506 nucleotides) under Stenotrophomonas maltophilia. Its description in RNAcentral is "bacterial SSU rRNA". It matches the Rfam family "Bacterial small subunit ribosomal RNA", at positions 37 to 530 of the family's 1533-position model. Lineage: Bacteria; Pseudomonadati; Pseudomonadota; Gammaproteobacteria; Lysobacterales; Lysobacteraceae. The record is from RNAcentral.